CAGCAGCCGCGGUAAUACGAAGGGGGCUAGCGUUGUUCGGAUUUACUGGGCGUAGAGCGCACGUAGGCGGAUCCUUAAGUCAGAGGUGAAAUCCCAAGGCUCAACCUUGGAACUGCCUUUGAUACUGGGGAUCUCGAGUCCGGGAGAGGUGAGUGGAACUGCGAGUGUAGAGGUGAAAUUCGUAGAUAUUCGCAAGAACACCAGUGGCGAAGGCGGCUCACUGGUCCGGUACUGACGCUGAGGUGCGAAAGCGUGGGGAGCAAACAGGAUUAGAGACCCGAGUAGUCCCUGUCUCUUAUAC
This 301-nucleotide ribosomal RNA is filed under the name uncultured bacterium. RNAcentral's name for it is "partial 16S ribosomal RNA". It matches the Rfam family "Bacterial small subunit ribosomal RNA", at positions 509 to 807 of the family's 1533-position model. The record is from RNAcentral.